AUUGAACGCUGGCGGCAGGCCUAACACAUGCAAGUCGAGCGGAUGAAGCGAGCUUGCUUCUGUCUUCAACGGCGGACGGGAAAGUAAUGCCUAGGAAUCUGCUUGGUCGUGGGGGAUAACGUCCGGAAACGGGCGUUAAUACCGCAUACGUCCUGUAGUACCAAGUGGGGAAUCUUAGCACCUCACGAUCUCAUAUGAGCCUAGGUCGGAUUAGCUAGUUGGUGGGGUAAAGGCCUACCAAGGCGAUGAUCCGUAUCUGGUCUGAGAGGAUGAUCGGUCACACUGGAACUGAGACACGGUCCAGACUCCUACGGGAGGCAGCAGUGGGGAAUAUUGGACAAUGGGCGAAAGCCUGAUCCAGCCAUGCCGCGUGAGUGAAGAAGGUCUUCGGAUUGUAAAGCACUGUAAGUUGGGAGGAAGGGCAGUAAGUGAAUACCUUGCUGUUUUGACGUUACCAACAGAAUAAGCACCGGCUAACUUCGUG
This 484-nucleotide ribosomal RNA is filed under the name uncultured bacterium. RNAcentral's name for it is "partial 16S ribosomal RNA". It matches the Rfam family "Bacterial small subunit ribosomal RNA", at positions 30 to 507 of the family's 1533-position model. The record is from RNAcentral.